UACGAAGGGGGCUAGCGUUGUUCGGAAUUACUGGGCGUAAAGCGCACGUAGGCGGAUUGGCAAGUCAGGGGUGAAAUCCCGGAGCUCAACUCCGGAACUGCCUUUGAUACUGCCAGUCUAGAGUCCGGAAGAGGUGGGUGGAAUUCCUAGUGUAGAGGUGAAAUUCGCAGAUAUUAGGAAGAACACCGGUGGCGAAGGCGGCCCACUGGUCCGGUACUGACGCUGAGGUGCGACAGCGUGGGGAGCAAACAGG
Molecule: ribosomal RNA, 253 nt
Filed under: uncultured bacterium
Lineage: Bacteria
Description: partial 16S ribosomal RNA
Rfam family: Bacterial small subunit ribosomal RNA
Source: RNAcentral